This 305-nucleotide ribosomal RNA is filed under the name uncultured bacterium. RNAcentral's name for it is "bacterial SSU rRNA". It matches the Rfam family "Bacterial small subunit ribosomal RNA", at positions 334 to 653 of the family's 1533-position model. The record is from RNAcentral.
UUUUCCUACGGGAGGCAGCAGUGGGGAAUAUUGCACAAUGGGGGGAACCCUGAUGCAGCAACGCCGCGUGAAGGAAGACGGUUUUCGGAUUGUAAACUUCUAUCAAUAGGGAAGAAAGAAAUGACGAUACCUAAAUAAGAAGCCCCGGCUAACUACGUGCCAGCAGCCGCGGUAAUACGUAGGGGGCAAGCGUUAUCCGGAAUUACUGGGUGUAAAGGGAGAGAAGGCGGCAAGGUAAGCGAUAUGUGAAAGCCUUAGGCUUAACCUGAGGAUUGCAUAACGAACUAUCUAGCUAGAGUACAGGA